AUACGGAGGAUCCGAGCGUUAUCCGGAUUUAUUGGGUUUAAAGGGUGCGCAGGCGGGAUGUUAAGUCGGCGGUGAAAUUUUGCAGCUCAACUGUAAAAGUGCCUUCGAUACUGGCUUCCUUGAGUGUGGAUGAAGUAGGCGGAAUUUGUGGUGUAGCGGUGAAAUGCAUAGAUAUCACGAGGAACUCCGAUUGCGCAGGCAGCUUACUAAACUACUACUGACGCUCAGGCACGAAGGCGUGGGGAUC
Molecule: ribosomal RNA, 247 nt
Filed under: uncultured bacterium
Lineage: Bacteria
Description: partial 16S ribosomal RNA
Rfam family: Bacterial small subunit ribosomal RNA
Source: RNAcentral